GAUGAACGCUGGCGGCGUGCCUAAUACAUGCAAGUCGAGCGAACGGACGAGAAGCUUGCUUCUCUGAUGUUAGCGGCGGACGGGUGAGUAACACGUGGAUAACCUACCUAUAAGACUGGGAUAACUUCGGGAAACCGGAGCUAAUACCGGAUGAUAUUUUGAACCGCAUGGUUCAAAAGUGAAAGACGGUCUUGCUGUCACUUAUAGAUGGAUCCGCGCUGCAUUAGCUAGUUGGUAAGGUAACGGCUUACCAAGGCAACGAUGCAUAGCCGACCUGAGAGGGUGAUCGGCCACACUGGAACUGAGACACGGUCCAGACUCCUACGGGAGGCAGCAGUAGGGAAUCUGCCGCAAUGGGCGAAAGCCUGACGGAGCAACGCCGCGUGAGUGAUGAAGGUCUUCAGAUCGUAAAACUCUGUUAUUAGGGAAGAACAUAUGUGUAAGUAACUGUGCACAUCUUGACGGUACCUAAUCAGAAAGCCACGGCGAACUACGU
Molecule: ribosomal RNA, 496 nt
Filed under: uncultured bacterium
Lineage: Bacteria
Description: partial 16S ribosomal RNA
Rfam family: Bacterial small subunit ribosomal RNA
Source: RNAcentral